This is a long non-coding RNA of Oncorhynchus keta (chum salmon), 3012 nucleotides long. RefSeq lists it as uncharacterized. Lineage: Eukaryota; Metazoa; Chordata; Actinopteri; Salmoniformes; Salmonidae. The record is from RefSeq and is a predicted model, not a curated record. The transcript has 4 exons.
UAAAAUAAAAAUACAGUAAGUUCAUCCAUACUUUGUGCAAGACAAAAAAUUUUUUAUUUCAGGUUCAAAAUAAUAAAUUAUAGCUAAUUUGGCUGAUCUUUCAUUUUAUGUAACUCCAAUGUAACGUACAAUAGGUUACAUGCUGUUUGGUUUUUGUUGUAGCAGAUUUGUGUAUAUCAGUCUCUGGGUCAUUCCACCAAUUGGGUGCCUUUUGAGUAAUAUACCUUGGUGAAAAAAAACAUAGAAUUUCACCUAAUUUUAACAUUCUGUCGUAAAGAGUAGAUGUUCAACUUAAUAAAAAGCAUGCGUUUCCAUCUCGAGGUUAAAAAAACAACUAUAUUAAGUGUCUAUUAAGUGCCAAAUAAAGUAAAAGGGUGACUGUAACAAGGUAGAUGAUCUUAAAUCAGCCAGAAAUCCCCUUGUGACAGGAGGAAUGGAAGCUUGUUGUGUGCAACAGGGAGGGUCAAUUGAAUGCAAGCUUCACAACAACAACAAAAAUAUUGUCAAAAAAUGUCUAGCCUGUCCAUCUAUGGGUAACAGUGUUGACAUGUAAUGCUCAACCCACUCAGUUUUCCACCACAAAACACCAGGAAAUUGCAAAAAAGAGUAGAACCAGCUCACCUGCUUUUACACUGUGGUUUUAUAAUUUUAUUAGAUGUAGUAUUUGCUAUUUUUUUAAAGAAUAGUUUCAUCCUCUUAAAAUGAGAGUUCAGUUCAUGUAACAGGGUUGACCUUAAAAUGAGGGAGAGUUUUUGGUUUUAAAUUAAAAUGAAUCACUAAUCACAUUAAAUAAAUAAUCAUCUUCAGAAAUGACUUUGUCAUGAUGAUUAAAACUUGAUGAUUAAAAUGUUGGGGUUAAGUGGGUUAAAAUCUUCCUAUAAGUCUAAGACAGUGCACAGAGGGACAUUUGGUCAAUAUUAAAAAGGGAACUACAUUUAAUUUAACAAGCUUUUAAAAUUCAAUAUUGAUGCACAAUUUCUACUUAAUAUAUCAAAGGGACACAAAGGCACUCAUUUCAUGGAAUGUCCCGUCUGAGUUCUUUCUGAGCUCCACAUUAGAAACCCAUUAGAAACCAAGGAGACACAGUGGAUCAAGUCACUGGUGAUAAAGACUGAGAGUCACACACUUGUCUCAUUCUUGAAUGUCUUUGUGCAACUAGCAUUUUGUAAGGACUUGACUAGAUUUGUUUGGGAAGCGUCAUGUCAAGGCUUCCAUUUAUGUCCCAAUGAAUGAAAACUAAGUACCAACCAUUGUUACACAGUGUAGCAUCCACCAAUCCAGUUUCAUAUAAGAAUAGCACAUGCUAUCUAUGCAGUUUCCCAUUUUAACCAACAAGCAUUUGCAAGAAGUUAGAAUCUACCAAAAUAAACUGUCUCCAUCUCUAUCUGAAUUGAAAGAACCAUGUCAGCCAAUUGUAAUUAAACCACGACAUUGAUAGUGAAAAGAAUAUAUCAGAAUAAUCAGUUACUAAUCCAGCUACAAGCGCCUCUGCGAACAUUCCGACAAACAAAGAAAAAAUAACAUUAAAGAGACCUUAAAAAAUGCUGCCCUUCAUAACAAGGUAAAUCCUACAUGUAAUCUGCUCAAGUUUAUUUCCAGAUAAAGGAGCACGUCUCUAAUUUACUCUUAUAACAGCUCUUAACCUUACCUACAGAAACGUCCUCACAUUGGGAGAAAUGGGCCCGGUUCCAAGCAAUCAUCCCCUAACUCUAUUACACUCCCCAUAACAAUUUACUGUACUACACUGGGAACUUUGAAGAUCUGGCAACCGAAAUAAUCUGGCAACCCAGAUGAGUUUAACGGGUGUUGUUAAUUAGGCUAAACGAGGCCAUCCAGUAAUGUCUCCCGGAGCCUAGACAGACAAUACAGGCACAGACACAGAAAAGGCUUACACUUGUUCCCAGACUAACCUCCCAGGUCUAAUGGAAUGUUUGGCUCAGUGUCAUCAAUUCAUUAAGACAGACCUUUUCAAGUGGAAGUGUGAGGACUCAGCAAACAGUUUCUAUCUAUUUAGUGUGCCUUUGCUGCACAUGAUCUGCAGGUUUCCGCUAUUGUGUCACCCCAGCCAACACUGACCAUGAUACCCGUACAGAUGGCAAUGGCGGAUGGGGAGACAUGGUGGAAUAAGGGGAGACAGGAGGAGAGUGCUGGUGGAGGAGAUAUAACUGCAUCUAAAACUGUCUACUUGGAGAAGCAGUGAAACACAUGCACAGAGAGAGAGAAACAUUGAGUGUGGGUGGGGGAUGGAUGCCACUGGUCCCACAUUUCAAUCUCUCAAUGUGAGAGUGGUGGAAUAGAUGGAUGGGUGGAGGUGUCUGGGACUCGGUGGAAUGGAUGGAUGGGUGGAGGUGUCUGGGACUCGGUGGAAUGGAUGGAUGGGUGGAGGUGUCUGGGACUCGGUGGAAUGGAUGGAUGGGUGGAGGUGUCUGGGACUCGGUGGAAUGGAUGGAUGGGUGGAGGUGUCUGGGACUCGGUGGAAUGGAUGGAUGGGUGGAGGUGUCUGGGACUCGGUGGAAUGGAUGGAUGGGUGGAGGUGUCUGGGACUCGGUGGAAUGGAUGGAUGGGUGGAGGUGUCUGGGACUCGGUGGAAUGGAUGGAUGGGUGGAGGUGUCUGGGACUCUGUGGAAUGGAUGGAUGGGUGGAGGUGUCUGGGACUCGGUGGAAUGGAUGGAUGGGUGGAGGUGUCUGGGACUCGGUGGAAUGGAUGGAUGGGUGGAGGUGUCUGGGACUCGGUGGAAUGGAUGGAUGGGUGGAGGUGUCUGGGACUCUGUGGAAUGGAUGGAUGGGUGGAGGUGUCUGGGACUCGGUGGAAUGGAUGGAUGGGUGGAGGUGUCUGGGACUCGGUGGAAUGGAUGGAUGGGUGGAGGUGUCUGGGACUCGGUGGAAUGGAUGGAUGGGUGGAGGUGUCUGGGACUCUGUGGAAUGGAUGAAUGGGUGGAGGUGUCUGGGACUCUGUGGAAUGGAUGGAUGGGUGGAGGUGUCUGGGACUCGGAGGCAUGGAUGGAUGGGUGG